GCACUCACAAGUUCCCUAUUUAAGAAGCAACAUUUCACCUUUUUGCUUUUUCUAAGGAGGGUUUGUUUCUUUCUCAUUCUUCUUCUUUCAGUGUCAUUCUCCUGCUUGAUUUAACACUGAUUCUUACAUAUUGUGCAUCAAUGACUGUCCUUUGCAAUCAGAUGUUUGGGCCCCUUUGUGCAAAGCAUAUGAUUGAUAGACGGGGAAUGUUAAGAAGGAAGAAGAAUGGCAUAAGGCCCUCCUCCACUCCUAGGUGAUGGGCAAGCAGUCAUGUGCUGGAGCAUACAGGAAUCACUACUGCCAUACAGGUGGAUGAACACCUGAGAUUUUCUAUGCCGACUUCAGAGAUCAUCCUAAGCCAUACCAGGAAAUGAAGCUGUUUCCCCUCCCAGCUGUACGCGCCUCACGGCAACAAGUUGCAAAUUCUAACAUCAAAAUAAACCAUAAAUCUCCAUAGGUUAAAAAACAUCAUUAAACUUUUGCCAUAGAGUUAACCCACCCAUUACUCUGGGUUUUGUUGACUUCAUGUUAGAUAAGGGUGGAAUAAAAGCGACUUUAGAGUAUGUGGAAAUCUCUGUUUUGUUAUUAAAAGGGGCAAGAGGAAAGAAGGCCCCAGUGCUGCAGGAAAGCCCAGCUACAUGGGAGUCACUGAUAGAAAUGUGCUGGGAGAAGAGCAUCUUUAAAACAGCAUCCCUAAUUCUGGCCUGAAGCACCUCAUUUUUGGCUGAAUCCAGCCACCAGGAAACUGAUCCUAAAGCUGUGCUUUCUCCUUCUAGCUCAUUUGAAAAAAAUACUUCUUGCUUCAGUGAGGAAGCAGUCUGAGCAGUCUUCCCAGCACAGAUAUUUUUUUAAAGAAUCUUCAUAUUGUGUGAGGGCUUCUGUUGGUGGUUGAUGCUGAAACGAAAGAUGUGGCAAAUAAAAAUACUGUAAUGGUUGGAGUCAUAUCCGGAAGCAGCUCUGAAUGCCCUUUUACAUAGGUGGUCACAAAUUGUCAUGUCACACCAAUGAAGAUAUGUGGAAGGAAUUGCCUAGAUCAGACUUUGUGUUGUGUUCCUUUCCACAUUCCCAUAUAUUUUUUAACAGGCAGGGAAGAUCUUCAUGCCUUCUAUAUUUUGUCAUAAAGACAGCAAACUCCAUUCCGCCUGUUUUCAGGCUCGGUUGCUUGAGAUGACAUGAAUGGUCGGCCAUGGGAUGUAAUUCAAUUUAUUCUGUG
Gallus gallus (chicken) is the source of this 1213-nucleotide long non-coding RNA. The record is from Ensembl. Lineage: Eukaryota; Metazoa; Chordata; Aves; Galliformes; Phasianidae.